GACGUACGCUGGCGGCGUGCUUAACACAUGCAAGUCGAACGGAAAGGCCCUGCUUUUGUGGGGUGCUCGAGUGGCGAACGGGUGAGUAACACGUGAGUAACCUGCCCUUGACUUUGGGAUAACUUCAGGAAACUGGGGCUAAUACCGGAUAGGAGCUCCUGCUGCAUGGUGUGGGUUGGAAAGUUUCGGCGGUUGGGGAUGGACUCGCGGCUUAUCAGCUUGUUGGUGGGGUAGUGGCUUACCAAGGCUUUGACGGGUAGCCGGCCUGAGAGGGUGACCGGCCACAUUGGGACUGAGAUACGGCCCAGACUCCUACGGGAGGCAGCAGUGGGGAAUAUUGCACAAUGGGCGGAAGCCUGAUGCAGCAACGCCGCGUGCGGGAUGACGGCCUUCGGGUUGUAAACCGCUUUCGCCUGUGACGAAGCGUGAGUGACGGUAAUGGGUAAAGAAGCACCGGCUAACUACGUG
RNAcentral lists this ribosomal RNA (468 nucleotides) under uncultured bacterium. Its description in RNAcentral is "partial 16S ribosomal RNA". It matches the Rfam family "Bacterial small subunit ribosomal RNA", at positions 28 to 507 of the family's 1533-position model. The record is from RNAcentral.